CCUACGGGGGGCAGCAGUGGGGAAUAUUGCACAAUGGGCGAAAGCCUGAUGCAGCAACGCCGCGUGAGUGAUGACGGCCUUCGGGUUGUAAAACUCUGUCUUCAGGGACGAUAAUGACGGUACCUGAGGAGGAAGCCACGGCUAACUACGUGCCAGCAGCCGCGGUAAUACGUAGGUGGCAAGCGUUGUCCGGAUUUACUGGGCGUAAAGGGAGCGUAGGCGGAUGUUUAAGUGGGAUGUGAAAUACUCGGGCUCAACUUGAGUGCUGCAUUCCAAACUGGAUAUCUAGAGUGCAGGAGAGGAAAGGAGAAUUCCUAGUGUAGCGGUGAAAUGCGUAGAGAUUAGGAAGAAUACCAGUGGCGAAGGCGCCUUUCUGGACUGUAACUGACGCUGAGGCUCGAAAGCGUGGGGAGCAAACAGGAUU
Molecule: ribosomal RNA, 424 nt
Filed under: uncultured Fusobacterium sp.
Lineage: Bacteria; Fusobacteriati; Fusobacteriota; Fusobacteriia; Fusobacteriales; Fusobacteriaceae
Description: bacterial SSU rRNA
Rfam family: Bacterial small subunit ribosomal RNA
Source: RNAcentral